GGGUGCAGUCACGGGGCUCGGCUCUCGCUGCCGUGGCGGGGACGUGGUGGAACCGCUCACUUGAUGGGAACGCUGCCACCAACAGCCACGCGAUCCUUAAGGAAGUCAGACAGGAAGGACCUUCUUGGAAGAAUCGAAUGGGAACGGGUCCUGGAAGGGGGCAGUGAGCCAGGAGAGCUGGUUAAUAUUCAAAGAUGGCUGCCUGCAGCCUCGAGGCCGACAACGCGGUGCGCCACGACAGCUCCAAGCGCAGCAGCAGCACCCCAACACAGCGCACCCCCAACACAACGCUGCACUCCAAACACGGCGGCGUGGCGCUGGGAAGGGCAGCGCUCCCUGUCCGGACUCGCAGAGCUCUCAGCUCCCACCAGCUGCGUUGGGAAGCAGGCGAGGGCGAAGAGGACGAGCCCCCCACCCCAACAAGCGUGACCUCGUUGGCCGUACCUGGUGUCUGGCACGUGUUUCAGGUUGUAAACCGGGCGGUUGGAGAAUCCUCCACAUUCCACCUUGAAAUCUCUCUCUGGACACAGACCCUGGAAAGGGAAGGCGAACACAUUUCAUCCCAUUUAACGGCACAGAAUGCAGCCCGGUCAGUUAACCCACAAACAGAAGCCUCUGCCCGCCCACUCACACCGAUUUCAACCACAGCAUUGAAAGAUCCCGAUACACUUCAGGGAAAAAAGCCACGUUUGAGGCUCCUGCCGACAGCUCCGGGGAGGUUUGCUGCUGUCUGCGCCCACCCGGCCGAACACCACUCCCGCCUUCAGCUCACACAUCACCCACUCCACGCGCAGCGCACAGCACUGCGGCUCCGCAGCUCAGGCAUCUCAGAGAGCCCCCUCUGCGUCCGCGCGGCUGCAGCACCCACCCGGCUCUCCUUCGCUUCCAGUGCUGCUGGUGGCAGCAGCUGCAGGAUCUCAUUCCUUCCAGCGCAGCCAUAGCCGGCCACGCACACACCUUUGGGAGGCCCAGAGAUGCAGUGAGAGACCCCCUCCCCAAAGGCACACCCCCGAGUUACAGUACUGCCCACCUUAAACCCAGGCCCACCCAGAGCCCAAGCCCAGACUGAAACUCCAUGUGUCCCCAGCCCCACGGCACCCCCCCCUUUCACCCUGGGGUCCCAACCCAGCCCCACGGCACCUCUCCAUCCCAUAGGCCCCAACCCAGCCCCAUGGCACCUCUCCAUUCCAUAGGCCCCAACCCAGCCCCAUGGCACCUCUCCAUCCCAUUGGCCCCAACCCAGCCCCAUGGCACCUCUUCAUCCCAUUGGCCCCAACCCAGCCCCAUGGCACCUCUCCAUCCCACUGAGCCCCACCCCAGCCCCACAGCACCUCUCCAUCCCAUAGGCCCCAACCGAGCCCCAUGGCACCUCUCCAUCCCAUAGGCCCCAACCCAGCCCCAUGGCACCUCUCCAUCCCACUGAGCCCCAACCCCAACCCUGCCCCACAGCACCUCUCCAUCCCAUAGGCCCCAACCCAGCCCCAUGGCACCUCUCCUCCCCCAUAGGCCCCCAACCAUCCCCUCGCCCACCUCCAAAGGACCUCAGCUCCCAUCUCUCGGCCUCCCUCCUCCCCCUCCCCACUCACGCUUCCCCAGGGCCCAUUCGAUAACGCGGGUGGGAGCCUGGAGCUCGAAGGCGUGCAGAGCCUCGUACCUACGAGGAGAGGGGGGCGGCGGUGAGAAGUCGGAGGGGGGGGGAGGCCGAAGGGCCGAGGUCGGGAUCGCUCACAGGUGCAAGGAUUGCAGCAACCACUCUUCUUCCUCCUCCUCCUCCUCCUCCUCCUCACCACGUUCCCCCGCCGCCUCCAUGGCAACCGCUGCAGGGCGCGCAGUACUGACGUCACGAUCGGCGCACUUUACUGACGUGGCGCGGCGGCGCGCAGCAAUGACGUCGCAGCGGGCGGUUCGCGCGCUGCUGUGGGCCGUUUUGGCGCCAGAUGGGUUCCGUGAGGGAGCGAUGGUGGGACGCGUUGUUAUGAAUCAGAGCGAAAUGCCCUCAUUUGUGUGUCCUGUCCUCACAAAAAGACCCCAAUUCUCACCUAAAUAUUCACAUCUGUGUAUCCUCUCUUCAUAAGACCCAAAUUCCCACAUCUAUGUGUCAUCUCUUCAUAAACAAGGCCCAAAUUUCCACCUAAAUACCCACAUCUGUGUGUCCUCUUCCUAAAUAACACCCAAAUUCCCACCUAAACACCCACAUUUGUGUAUUUUCUCUUCAUAAGACCCAAAUUCCCACAUUUUUGUACCCUCUCCUCACAAAAAGACCCCAAUUCGCACAUUUAUGUGUUGUCUCUUCCUCAAUAAGACCCAAAUUCCCACCUAAAUACCCAAAUUUCUGUAUCUCCCUAAACAAGACCCAAAUUUCCACCUAAAUAUCCACAUUUGUGUACCUUCUCUUCAUAAAUACAACCCAAAUUCCCACCUAAACACCCAAAUUUGUCUAUUUUCUCUUCAUAAGACCCCAAAUUCCCACAUUCUUGUACCCUCUCCUCACAAAAAGACCCAAAUUCCCACAUUUAUGUGUUAUCUCUUCCUCAAUAAGACCCAAAUUCCCACCUAAAUACCCAAAUUUCUCUAUCUUCCUAAACAAGACCCAAAUUUCCACCUAAAUAUCCACAUUUGUGUAUCCUCUCUUCAUAAGACCCAAAUUCCCACAUCUAUGUGUCAUCUCUUCAUAAACAAGGCCCAAAUUUCCACCUAAAUACCCACAUCUGUGUGUCCUCUUCCUAAAAAAGGCCCAAAUUCCCACAUUUUCGUACCCUCUCCUCACAAACAGACCCAAAUUCCCACGUGUGUGUGUCCUCUCUUCAUAAACAAGACCCAAAUUCUCACCUAAAUAUCCAUAUUUGUGUAUCUUCUCUUCAUGAAUAAGACCCAAAUUCCCACAUUUAUGCAUUCUCUUCAUAAGCAAGACCCAAAUUUCCACCUAAAUAUCCACAUUUGUGUAUCUUCUCUUCGUAAAUACGACCCAAAUUCCCACAUUUGUGUAUCUUCUCUUCCUAAGUAACACCCAAAUUUCCACCUAAAUACCCAAAUUUGUUUAUUUUCUCUUCAUAAGACCCCAAAUUCCCACAUCUUUGUACCCUCUCCUCACAAAAAGACCCAAAUUCCCACAUUUAUGUGUUAUCUCUUCCUCAAUAAGACCCAAAUUCCCACCUAAAUACCCAAAUUUCUCUAUCUUCCUAAACAAGACCCAAAUUUCCACCUAAAUAUCCACAUUUGUGUAUCCUCUCUUCAUAAGACCCAAAUUCCCACAUCUAUGUGUCAUCUCUUCAUAAACAAGGCCCAAAUUUCCACCUAAAUACCCACAUCUGUGUGUCCUCUUCCUAAAAAAGGCCCCAAUUCCCACAUUUUCGUACCCUCUCCUCACAAACAGACCCAAAUUCCCACACGUGUGUGUCCUCUCUUCAUAAACAGGACCCAAAUUCUCACCUAAAUAUCCACAUUUGUGUAUCUUCUCUUCAUGAAUAAGACCCAAAUUCCCACAUUUGUGUGUUCUCUUCCUAAAUAACACCCAAAUUCCCACCUAAACACCCACAUUUGUGUAUUUUCUCUUCAUAAGACCCCAAAUUCCCACAUUUUUGUACCCUCUCCUCACAAAAAGACCCAAAUUCCCACAUUUAUGUGUUGUCUCUUCCUCAAUAAGACCAAAUUUCCACCUAAAUACCCACAUUUGUGUAUCCUCUCUUCAUAAGACCCAAAUUCCCACAUCGAUGUGUCAUCUCUUCAUAAACAAGGCCCAAAUUUCCACCUAAAUACCCACAUCUGUGUGUCCUCUUCCUAAAAAAGGCCCAAAUUCCCACAUUUUCAUACCCUCUCCUCACAAACAGACCCAAAUUCCCACAUUUAUGCAUUCUCUUCAUAAACAAGACCCAAAUUUCCACCUAAAUAUCCACAUUUGUGUAUCUUCUCUUCAUAAAUACAACCCAAAUUCCCACCUAAACACCCACAUUUGUCUAUUUUCUCUUCAUAAGACCCCAAAUUCCCACAUUUUUAUACCCUCUCCUCACAAAAAGACCCAAAUUCCCACAUUUAUGUGUUGUCUCUUCCUCAAUAAGACCCAAAUUCCCACCUAAAUACCCAAAUUUCUGUAUCUCCCUAAACAAGACCCACAUUUCCACUUAAAUAUCCACAUUUGUGUAUCCUCUCUUCAUAAGACCCAAAUUCCCACAUUUUUGUGUCAUCUCUUCAUAAACAAGGCCCAAAUUCCCACCUAAAUACCCAAAUUUGUGUAUCUUCUCUUCAUGAAUUAGACCCAAACUCCCCCAUUUUUUGUCCUCUUCCUAAAUAAGACCCAAAUUCCCCCUAAGUACCCACAUCUGUGUAUAAUCUCUUAAUGAAUAGGACUCUAAUACCCAUAUUUUUGUUCCCUCUCCUCAUCAAAAGGCCAAAAAUUCCCACAAUUUUGUGUCUUCUUUUCAUAAACAAGACCCAAAUUCCCACAUUUGUUUGUCCUCUUCAUAAAAAAGACCCAAAAUCCCACCUGAAUACCCACAUUUUUUAUCUUCUCUUCAUGAAUAAAAUCCAGAUCCCCCCAUUUAUGUGUCCUCUUCCUAAACAAGACCCAAAUUCCCACCUAAAUAUCCACGUUUGUGUAUCUUCUCUUCAUAAAUACGACCCAAAUUCCCACAUUAGUGCGUUCUCUUCCUAAGUAACACCCAAAUUCCCACCUAAAUACCCACAUUUGUGUAUUUUCUCUUCAUAAGACCCCAAAUUCCCACAUUUUUGUACCCUCUCCUCACAAAAAGACCCAAAUUCCCACAUUUAUGUGUUGUUUCUUCCUUAAUAAGACCCAAAUUCCCACCUAAACACCCCAAUUUGUGUAGUCUUCAUAAGACCCAAAUUCCCACAUUUUUAUACCCUCGCCUCACAAAAAGACCCAAAUUCCCACAUUUAUGUGUUGUCUCUUCCUCAAUAACACCCAAAUUCCCACCUAAAUUUUCACAUCUUUGCAUCGUCUCCUCGUAAGACCCAAAAUUCCCACCUAAAUAUCCACAUUUGUGUCUCCUCUUCCUAAAUAAGACCCAAAUCCCCACAUUUACAUCGUCUCUUCCUCAAUAAGACCCACAUUCCCACCUAAAUACCCACGUUUACGUGUCAUCUCUUCCUCAGUAAGCCCCAAAUCCCCCCAUUUAUGUGCCCUCUCUUCUCAAACUCCCACACACGGGUGUGGGGUUGCAUUCAGAAAUCCCCCAGCCUGUCCCAUAUUACCACCCCAGCCCUUCACACCACGUCAGGGCUCUGAGAGGUGUCAGGACAGCGCAGGGACAGUGCCAGCAGCCCGUGGGGAGCCCACAAGAGGAUGUUUACCACCAUUAGAAACAGGAGGAAAAGCUUUAUUCCAGCAAAUCUAAACGUUGUUAUUUAUAAUGGAACGAAAGCGGAACGGACGGGCCAGGCCUGGGAAGCAGAGAUGGGUCCUUCAGAGCUCUCCGGGCUGCAGCCAACCCUUGGGCUUCUGCAUCCUGCACAGCUCAGGAGGGCUUCUAUGCAUCUCCUGGGCUCUCCUGAAAGACAAAGCGUGGUGUCAGUGUGGUUUAUCACGCCUCGUAUGACAUGACAGUUCUGGGGAUGCCACAUCUCAAGGGAUGAACGCAACCACUGGAGCAGGUUGCCCAAGGAGGCUGUGGAUGCCCCAUCCCUGCAGGCAUUCAAGGCCAGGCUGGAUGUGGCUCUGGGCAGCCUGGGCUGCUGGUUGGCGACCCUGCACAUAGCAGGGGGUUGGAACUGGAUGAGCACUGUGGUCCUUUGCAACCCAGGCCCUUCUAUGACUCUAUGAUAUGCCACGAUUCCCUGUCUGUGCCUCUAAGUUCACUUCUCUGUGAGCCACAGAGGACUUCUUCAGAGCCUAUGUGUUGAGCCGAGACCGCUGCUGCUCUUCUUUUCGCUCGUUUUCCAGUUCCUUGCCUGCUUUCUCUUGCAACUAGAAGAGGGAGGAUUUAUAUCUUCCUUCCAGCCAGCUCAUCCAUGGGAAAGCUGAUCUGAUGCAACAGCAGCAGCUUUGCUGUAGUUCGGGUGAACCGCAUCAGACUUGGAUUUGAGCUGCACAGCACAGCUCUCAGCAGCAACGGGCACUGCAGGAAAACCCCAUGGGCUGAUGUUGGAGCUGACCCUGCUGCCCGGCAGCCCCUGCCCGGCCUCUGCCGUGUCUGACUUCCAUCAUUUUUGGGGGGGAAGGGGGGGGGGGGGGGGAGAAAUCUUGUCUUUCUUCCAACGUAGGCAACAUUCUCAUUUCUGACAGGAACGAAUGCUUUGUUUGGGCUCCGUGCAGCUGUGCUGUCACGCCAACGUCGGCUCUUGGAGCAGCCGGCCCGAACGCACUUCUAUAUAUAGGAACCCGGUGUUCCUACAUUCAACUUCUCUUUGGGCCCAAACCAAAACAGCUUUCUGCGGGGAUACUGAGGAGCGUUUGUAUCCUUCGGGUGCGUCCUCACCUCUCAGCUCGCAGCACCGGCAGAACCGGAGGAGCAAGAAUGGCUGGGAAAGGGCAUAGAUGGGAGGAGAGCAUCCAGAAGCUGCUGUUUCCCAACCCCCACCUCCCCCCUCCCCCCCCAACCCUCCAAGUGUGUUGGUUCUAAUGGAGAUGGGAGCACCGCUUACCUCUCCUGGAGGAGGAGGGGGAAGAGGAGGAGUGGGGUUAUUUCUUUUGUCCAAUCUUUGACGGCGCCACCUGUAAAAUAAAGCGCUCCGUGUCUGCUGGAGGGAGAUGUUGUGCAGGAUGAGAUGUGCUGCGGUUUAGGGCCAAAAGCGAAGCAGUGAGAGGAUGAGGCAGAGCUCUCCAAAAAUCUUUCUUUGCCCAGUUCUUUUCUCCACUGAAAGAAGGGGAAAUCAAAGGAAGGGGUAAAGGAACUAAGAGGGGAAAAAAAAAAGGAACAACCGAGUGGGAGAAGCAAAGGUUUAUGAAAGAAUACCUAGAAGUUAGACAAGAAUUCUCAUUUCAGAAUUGCUAUGGGAAAAAAAAAAAAUGCCAGAAUGGGUUAAAAGGGAUGAAGCUCUAGCAGCCAUUUCCAGGUAAGAAACAGCAGUGGGAGAGCUCUGUUUACAGCUCAGGGCACGGUUGGUCGCAUUACUCCACAUGGAAAGAAAGCAUAGAACCACAGAAUCGUUGAGGUUGGAGAACACCUCUCAGGUCCCCACAUCCACCCGCAGCCCACCAUAUGCCCGCUGCCCACGUCCCUCAGUGCCACAUCCCCACUGUGCUGGGAAGCCUCCAGGGACGGUGACCCCAACCCUGGGCACCCUGAGAGCCUGGGGUAGGGAUUGCUGAUUGCUGGAGCACGCCUACCUGUGGAUAUACCGUACGAUUUCAGCCCUCUUGUACAGCACAAUGCCCGAAAUCAGGAUGAAAAGAAGCAGCGUUCCAACAGCUUUUACCGUAGCUCCAUACACUUGGAAAGGAAAACAAACAACAUGACACUCCGUGCACAUAAGACAUACUGGUUGGAAUGGCAGCUCGUCAAGUAUUCCCCAGUGCACAAAGGACCAGGAGCUCGUGUGCAUGCCCCAGGACACCUCCGUGAUGGCCUAGGUGGGCUCUGCCAGCGUUCUCUCUCAGAAGCAAGCAGAAGCCACAAGGCGUUCAUCGAGGAGGGUAAAGUGAUGCUAAGCAGGCCUGGGAACAAGGAGCCUUUGGCACUGCAUUGUGAGGAGGUUGAGGAUGUCACACACGAGCAAGGCAGCUUCCCAGGACGCACAGAGAAGGGCACGCAGGUGAAGGAACACCCAGAUAUAGCCAGAAGGCGCGACUGAGGAGCCAACACGGGGACACCAGCUGGAGCCGAAGCAUCAGCAUCAGCCAUUCCCCGUGGAUUGAGGAGCACAGCACAGCCCCUUGGGUCCCUUCGUCUCCAUGCAAAGUAGGUGAGGUACCACAAUGAUAUUGGAGGAACAGCUGAUGUGAGGUACAGAGUGCUAACUGCUCUAAAGAGCUCGAUUUCCACAGUGCCAGCGGGCCCAUUGCUGCUUCAUUUGCCAUUUGCCUGGCCAAGCAAUCAGCAGAAAGGGCUCAGAGCUCUUCAUCAUCAUCAGGACCGAUGGGCAGAGAGGGCCAGGGAAGAGCUUGAAAGCCAUCCGUGGUCAGGAGCUGGGGGUUGUGCAGCUCUGCUGAGUGACUGCGUGGUUUUGCUCAUCAGCAAGUCGUUACGCUUAAUAGAUGGGAAGGCAGAAGAGCAUCUCUCAGGGGUACGUGCCCGGAAAAUAUUUAUUUAUGUGCUGUCAUCCCAGGAUUGCAGCUCUGCUGGAGAUGUCUAUUAAGAGGAGUGGAAAAUUCUCCUAAGAGGGUUCUGAUGAGCUCAACAGACACUCCUCAUCAGCUGUCUUAAUGAACUGCGUGCUGGCUGCUUGGCUCUGCUGCUUAAUGGGAUCGAUCUGUAGUUCCUGUGGGUGCCCUGGCAGCAGCCAGAGAGAGGGCAGGCAGGGCAAGAACCACCGCACUGAUAAAAAGGAGGCGAGAUAAGAGGGAAAAAAAAAAGAGAAUAAAAUAGAAUAGAAAUAAAAUAGUAGAGUAGAAUAGGGGAGAGUUGAGCAGAGCACAGAAGAAAUCUCAGGUGGAAGGGGCCUGUGAAGCUCAAGUCCAGUCAAAUCCAAGUCUGAUGUGGCUAAAUAGCAAAGGGAAAAGAGAUGCCUGAACCAAGGCUGGGAUGAUCUGAAGGCACAGGUGGAAAUCUACCAGGCUUGCUCAGGAGAAAACGAUGCUGAGAGGCGGUACGAUGAGCAGAGUGGUUGCACCACACCCUGCACUACGCUCACCGUAGUAAGAAGGAGGUGGUCCGCUGUCAACGCUGCCUCCAAACCCUUCUGCCUUGCAGUCCGGAGGGGCCCACCCGACAUCGCAGUGGCAGUUGUUCUUGUUGUUGCAGACCUGAAAGAAAACGAACGUUUUACGGCAUGAAAAACGCAGCAGCCGUGUGGUGGCCCCCUGCUUUCCCAGGGUGUUGGCCUCCAGCACUGCGUCUCAGGACCAGCAGAGGAGGGCAGGAUGGGACCCACACCCUGAGGCAAAUUUGUCACUCUCCUUUGGCAGCCACCGUUUAACCUCUGUGGUGUGCAGGUGGCAGAUGGGUGCCCCGAACACAGCUGUCACAAGCUGUGUGCUCGCUGUGUUGGUGACGUGAAGGCAGCAGCAGCUCCCCAUCCAUCCCUUCACCCUCUCGCUGUGAUGAUGGUCCUGCAGAGAGAGGCUGCAAACACAGCAGGAGGAGCUGAGAGCGCACAGAGGGUGAGGGAUGGCUGCGUUUGCCUUUCUCCGGCUUAGCAGGAAUGCUUUCUGCCCGUCUCUGUCCGUUUUCGUCUCAGCAUCAGAAAGCUCUUGUGCAGCUUGCAGAUCUGCCCUCCUUUUGUGGAGGCUGUAACUGUUUCUGCCACGACAACGCAGCAUUUCACAAACGUGUCCCAGAUGAAUUUGUCACCUUCGUGUGAUUCGAAAUGAAGAUAAAGACAGGCAAAGGUGAUGGCAAAGCUCUCCUUUAGCAUCCACUCUGACACGCAGACAGACCUGCUCCUCUGCAGGGAUAUCUGUCUGGAAAGAGGGGCAGGUAUGGGUGGCAUCACCAAUAAACCCCCGUGUGAAGAAAUUCUGCCAGUGUUGCUGCCUGAAACGUGGGUUUUAUGUACGGCUGCAUCGAAACGCUGUGCAAGAUCUGCCGUUUCUGUGGCAUUUGCAAGGAGAGCAAAUACAGAGCAUGCAUUUUUCAGAAGAUCGCUCCGACUCUGGCUGAUUUAGAUUCAGUAGCACUGACAGCUGCACUGAAGGAUGAAGUGUUACGAUGCAGAAGUCACCUUUUGCAGUGUUUGUGGGAAUGGAGAAGAAAAAUGGCAGAAGAAGGCAAUGAACACCGAGAUGGAGGGCUGCAAGCUGUCAGAGCAGGAUCCGGGGGGAAGUCAUGUGUGGGAACCAAAACAAUGUUUGUGCUGCUGAGCCAGGAACCAUUCUGGACCUCUACGUUGCUCUGAAAGGCAAAUUUACAUUUCACAUCCUCUGCUCUUCAAAGGACAGUUGGAGGUUUUCUACCUACCCCUCUGCCAUGGCACUGUUUCGCUGUACAGUCGCUGUUGAGGAAAGCUGCACUGACACACGUCCUGUUGAUGCAUAUCUGCAGGAAGAAGGCAGAUCUGUGUUAGUGAGAAAGUAAAACAACAGGUUUAGGAGAGGGCACUGACUGGUGAAGUGGGACAAAAUCACAGAUCCAGUUCCUUUUGUUCGAGGCCUUCCAUUCCCUCUCUCUAAAGAAGCAACAGGGGAAGGAAUAGGAGCAAAAAGGGAAGCUCUUGUGUUCCGAGUUCGGGACAAAGCAAAGGGGAGGCUGAAGAAACCCAACUGAGUGAGCAUCACAGCAUGCACAGAAACCAGUUCUACCUCAGGAGUCGCUCAUUUGCUGCCAACACCCAACAGCUGUGCCAGCCUGUACCGAGGACCCCACGUCCCUGCUCUGCUCACACCCCUCCUUCAAUACCUGCCCAAGGCCAGGGAGGGUGGAUGGGUUUUGGAUGGACCCCUCACAACCACCCUGAUCUUCAUAGAUAUGCGCUCAGUGAGCAACGUGGAGCAUCCUCAUACCCUCAGGAAGCACACAGGUGUCUCCUCUGUGCAGGAGGAGAUGCAUUUUCAGCUUCUGGCCUUGCAAAUUAACUGUUUUUGCAACGGCGGUGUUUGGUGGGAGUCACGGCACCCAUCUCUUCUGAAAGGGGAACUCUACCACAGCCGGCGCUGAAGAGCUCCUUCCCCUCUGGUGAAACUCAGCACGCGUGUUCUUCUCGGAAAUAUCCUCUGCCAUAUGGUAGCAAGAAAUGCUCCUUCAGUACGUCACCGCCUUGACAGGACUUUGGCAUUCUGAGUGCCUCACAGGGGAAGAAAUGAGUCCUAUUCUUGGAAGAGCGUUUGAAAUUCUUUUGUGUGCGCAACAAACAAACGUUGGCUUUGAUUGGUUGCUCCCAAAGAAGCGGAGAAUCUUUUACUUCCCUCUUCUAAUGGAAAGACAGCUGUGUGCUGCCAACAACAAAAGCUACGACAGCACAGUGCUGUUUUUCAGCUGCUAAGGGAGGCUUGAGGAGGAGGGGGCUGACAUCUGACAUCAGAGGUCAUGCAUGUUUUCUUUAGGGAGAAAAUCCUUCCCUUUCAUCCCCGUCGUGCUCUAUUCUAGCUAUCUAUGGGUACC
This is a long non-coding RNA of Gallus gallus (chicken), 11150 nucleotides long. RefSeq lists it as uncharacterized. The record is from RefSeq and is a predicted model, not a curated record. Lineage: Eukaryota; Metazoa; Chordata; Aves; Galliformes; Phasianidae. The transcript has 3 exons.